GUACUUACCUGGCAGGGGAGAUAACUGAUCACGAAGGUGGUUUUCCCUGGCAAGGCUUAUCCAUUGCACUGUGGAUGUGUUGACCCCUGAGAUUUCCCCAAAUGUGGGAAACUCGACUAUAGUUUGUGGUAGUGGGGGAUUGUGUGUGCAUGGUCUCCCC
This is a small nuclear RNA of Jaculus jaculus (lesser Egyptian jerboa), 160 nucleotides long. Its record names the gene U1. It matches the Rfam family "U1 spliceosomal RNA". From Rfam's summary of the family: U1 is a small nuclear RNA (snRNA) component of the spliceosome (involved in pre-mRNA splicing). Its 5' end forms complementary base pairs with the 5' splice junction, thus defining the 5' donor site of an intron. The record is from Ensembl. Lineage: Eukaryota; Metazoa; Chordata; Mammalia; Rodentia; Dipodidae.